RNAcentral lists this ribosomal RNA (253 nucleotides) under uncultured bacterium. Its description in RNAcentral is "partial 16S ribosomal RNA". It matches the Rfam family "Bacterial small subunit ribosomal RNA", at positions 524 to 776 of the family's 1533-position model. The record is from RNAcentral.
UACGUAGGGUGCAAGCGUUGUCCGGAAUUAUUGGGCGUAAAGAGCUCGUAGGCGGUCUGUCGCGUCUGCUGUGAAAACUCAGGGCUUAACCCUGAGCUUGCAGUGGGUACGGGCAGACUAGAGUGCGGUAGGGGAGACUGGAAUUCCUGGUGUAGCGGUGAAAUGCGCAGAUAUCAGGAGGAACACCGGUGGCGAAGGCGGGUCUCUGGGCAGUAACUGACGCUGAGGAGCGAAAGCGUGGGGAGCAAACAGG